GGAUCUACUUACCAACGCAGAAAAUGAUACACACGGAUUCGAUUUAGGCACGCUACAUUCAAAUGACUUGGAAGAGCAGGUUCUCUGAGCCAGGAUACUAAAGUCCCUGUUUAGGAAAGAGCCACGUUGUAUGUUUACCCUACCACAAAGAUACAGUCAUGUGCCUGGGAAAGAUUGAUGCCAGCUCCAGAAAGGCAUCCGAAUGGUCUAAGUAAUGCCAUCCAUCUGUCAGUAAUAGAUUCAGAAAUGGAGAUCCACAGGAAUCCAGCCUUUUGCUCCUUGAAUGGGAUAAGGAAGCACAUAAUCCCAGUUGCUCUUCCAGUCAUCCCAGACCCACAGCCCUGCUUUAGCCAUCCUAUAGCCAUCAUAUAUUCACAAGGGGAGAGCAACUGAGGACAACACUGUGGAUCCUUGUGACAUAACCAAGCCAGUGAACCAAUCAAUACAUUUAUUUAUUGUUUGAGCCAUUGUAGUUGAGCUUACGUUACUGGCAGCUGAAAGCUGAAAGUUAUUCUAUCUGCCAAUCCUCAUCUUGCACGUCUCUUAGUUUUGCUCUUAUCUCUCCUUUUCCUCUUUUUCACACAUAAAUCCCAAUCUUUGUUCCAACUCACACUGUCAACACUCUGACCUUUCCCUCUUGCUUUCUUUUCCUCUUCUCUCUGUCCCUCUCCCUUUUGCCUUUCUUUCUGCCAGUGCUACCCACAGGUAUAUCUUAAAUCUUAUUAGCCAUAGCCAUGACCAAAGACUAGGACCACCACUAGGUAUAACUGGAUUAGGUGGAGUUUUGCUCAUUUGCCCUCCUUUGUACUUUCGACAUCAACAUCCCUCACCCCUCAGCAAUUCUCUCCACUGUGCCCCACUCCAUAUAACAAAAAGUCUUGUGUGCUCUGAAACAUCCACCCAAAAACUAUAUUUUCACUAAAAUUCCUUUGGUGAUAAUGCCUUAACAUGGUGGUUUCCAAAGCUUUUUAAAACCAUAACCCACAUUAAGUAUCCUCACUCAGUAUACACAGAAUAUACACAUAGGCACUUGAUAUAGUCUGGAUAUUUGUCCCUGCCCAACUCUUAUGUUGAAUUGUAAUCCCCAGUGCUAGAGGUGGGGCUUGGUGGGAGGGUGUUUGGAUCCCUCAUGGCUUGGUGCUGUCUUCACAAUAGUGAGUUCUCUAGACAUCUGGUCAUUUGAAAGUGUGUGGCACCUUCCCCCUCUCCUUGCUUCUGCUCUGACUAUGUGACAUGCCUGCUUUCCUGCUUUCCUUUUGCCUUCUGCCAUGAUCAUAAGCUUCCUGAGGACUUCCCAGAAGUCAAGCUGAUGCUAGCAUCAUUGCUUCCUGCAAAGCCUGCAGAGCUGUGAACCUCUUUUCUUUAUGAAUUAUCCAGUCUCAGGUAUUUCUUUAUAAUGUGAAAGGAAAAUAAACCUUGGGGCCCCCAAAUCACUAAGCUAAAUGGAAAAGUCAAGCUGGGAACUGCUUAGAGCAAACCUGCCUCCCAUUCUAUUCAAAGUCAUCCCUCUGCUCACUGAGAUAGAUGUAUAUCUGAUUGCCUCCUUUGGAAAGGCUAAUCAGAAACUCAAAAGAAUGAAACCAUUCAUUUGUCUCUCGCCUAUCUGUGACCUGGAAGCCCCCUCUCUGCUUCGGCUUCAAGGCUUCCUGCCUUUGCUUCAAGUUGUCGCGCCUUUCCAGACCCAACCAAUGUACUUCUUACAUAUACUGAUUGAUGCUUCAUGUCUCCCUAAAAUGUAUAAAACUCAGCUGUGCCCCAGCCACCUUGGCCACAUGUCAUCAGGACUCCCUGAGGCUGUGCCGCAGGCUCAUCUUCAACCUUGGCAAAAUAAACUUUCUAAAUUAAC
This 1846-nucleotide long non-coding RNA is filed under the name Homo sapiens (human). RNAcentral describes it as "long intergenic non-protein coding RNA 1094". Lineage: Eukaryota; Metazoa; Chordata; Mammalia; Primates; Hominidae. The record is from RNAcentral.